GGGGGGGUAGCUCAGCGGUCAGAGCGCAGCGAACUUGAAUUUGGUGUCCGUUGCCUAAGAAUAGCGAAAUGUGUCCCUAAGAUGCCGGUUCCGAAGGUCCUGGGUUCGAAUCCCAGUUCUCCCU
Molecule: non-coding RNA, 124 nt
Organism: Schizothecium vesticola
Lineage: Eukaryota; Fungi; Ascomycota; Sordariomycetes; Sordariales; Schizotheciaceae
Source: the annotation of a GenBank genome assembly